RNAcentral lists this unclassified non-coding RNA (518 nucleotides) under uncultured Glomeromycotina. RNAcentral's name for it is "SSU rRNA". It matches the Rfam family "Eukaryotic small subunit ribosomal RNA", at positions 571 to 1092 of the family's 1831-position model. The record is from RNAcentral. Lineage: Eukaryota; Fungi; Glomeromycota.
CAGCCGCGUAAUUCCAGCUCCAAUAGCGUAUAUUAAAGUUGUUGCAGUUAAAAAGCUCGUAGUUGAAUUUCGAGAUCAAUUUGUUGGUCGUGCCUCGGUACGUACUGGCAAUUUUGAUUUCUCCCUUCUGAAGAACCAUGAUGUCAUUAAUUUGGUGUCAUGGGGAAUCAGGACCGUUACUUUGAAAAAAUUAGAGUGUUUAAAGCAGGCUCGCGCUUGAAUACAUUAGCAUGGAAUAAUGAAAUAGGACGUUUGAUUCUAUUUUGUUGGUUUCUAGGAUCGACGUAAUGAUUAAUAGGGAUAGUUGGGGGCAUUAGUAUUCAAUUGUCAGAGGUGAAAUUCUUGGAUUUAUUGAAGACUAACUACUGCGAAAGCAUUUGCCAAGGAUGUUUUCAUUAAUCAAGAACGAAAGUUAGGGGAUCGAAGACGAUCAGAUACCGUCGUAGUCUUAACCAUAAACUAUGCCGACUAGGGAUCGGAUGAUGUUAAUUUUUUAAUGACUCAUUCGGCGCCUUACG